UCUAUGAGCGGGUACCCAAUAUCAAGGACGUCGUCUUCCCCUUGGUUCUCCGAUACUCUCCUUCUCUGCUUUAAGGAUUGCACCUAAAGACUCAAAAGGACUCUGAAUGAAGCAUAAGAUAACCUCUCCCUGAACUGUAGUUCAUAUCAAGACCCCAGCCCGAGCAACUUUGUAAGUGUGUUUUUAAAUACUGAACUCUUUGCCAAUAUGAUUGUUAAUGAUUCAAAAAACUAAAUUUCUUUAUUGAGACCUGGAGCAAAUUUUUGUAAACAUAUACGUAUAUAUUCUGUUAUAUUAUAAUAAUUUAAUUUCAGUUCACAGUGUGAGAGCUGAAGUUGAGGAUAAACUACUUCAAUAAAGCUUAUAUAAACAUAACACUCGUGUAUUAAUGUGGUGCGCUGGUUAUAAGGGAAUACUCGCCCUGGAUAUGAGUGAGCUUUUAUGUUUUUAAAGUCUCAAAAACAACGUUACGAGUACAGUG
Molecule: long non-coding RNA, 481 nt
Organism: Eurytemora carolleeae
Lineage: Eukaryota; Metazoa; Arthropoda; Copepoda; Calanoida; Temoridae
Exons: 2
Source: RefSeq, a predicted model, not a curated record